RNAcentral lists this ribosomal RNA (505 nucleotides) under uncultured bacterium. Its description in RNAcentral is "bacterial SSU rRNA". It matches the Rfam family "Bacterial small subunit ribosomal RNA", at positions 29 to 524 of the family's 1533-position model. The record is from RNAcentral.
AGUGAACGCUGGCGGCAGGCCUAAUACAUGCAAGUCGAACGGCAGCACAGCAGAGCUUGCUCUGUGGGUGGCGAGUGGCGGACGGGUGAGGAAUACGUGGGAAUCUGCCCAGUCGUGGGGGAUAACGUAGGGAAACUUACGCUAAUACCGCAUGCGCCCUUCGGGGAAAGCCGGGGACCUUCGGGCCUGGCGCGAUUGGAUGAGCCCACGUCGGAUUAGCUAGUUGGCGGGGUAAAGGCCCACCAAGGCGACGAUCCGUAGCUGGUCUGAGAGGAUGAUCAGCCACACUGGAACUGAGACACGGUCCAGACUCCUACGGGAGGCAGCAGUAGGGAAUAUUGGACAAUAGGCGCAAGCCUGAUCCAGCCAUGCCGCGUGAGUGAAGAAGGCCCUCGGGUUGUAAAGCUCUUUUGUCCGGAAAGAAAGCGCCGGGUUAAUACCCUGGUGUCCUGACGGUACCGGAAGAAUAAGCACCGGCUAACUUCGUGCCAGCAGCCGCGGUAAU